Molecule: ribosomal RNA, 434 nt
Filed under: uncultured bacterium
Lineage: Bacteria
Description: bacterial SSU rRNA
Rfam family: Bacterial small subunit ribosomal RNA
Source: RNAcentral
GCAGUAAGGAAUAUUGGUCAAUGGAGGCAACUCUGAACCAGCCAUGCCGCGUGCAGGAAGACAGCCCUAUGGGUCGUAAACUGCUUUUAUGUCGGAAUAAACCUAUUUACGUGUAAGUAGCUGAAUGUACGGCAAGAAUAAGGAUCGGCUAACUCCGUGCCAGCAGCCGCGGUAAUACGGAGGAUCCAAGCGUUAUCCGGAUUUAUUGGGUUUAAAGGGAGCGUAGGCGGUCUGUUAAGUCAGGGGUGAAAGACGGUGGCUCAACCAUCGCAGUGCCUUUGAUACUGACGGACUUGAAUAUAGUUGAGGUAGGCGGAAUGUGACAAGUAGCGGUGAAAUGCAUAGAUAUGUCACAGAACACCAAUUGCGAAGGCAGCUUACUAAGCUAUGAUUGACGCUGAGGCUCGAAAGCGUGGGGAUCAAACAGGAUUAGA